Molecule: unclassified non-coding RNA, 520 nt
Filed under: uncultured Glomus
Lineage: Eukaryota; Fungi; Glomeromycota; Glomeromycetes; Glomerales; Glomeraceae
Also listed under: 1 other name
Description: SSU rRNA
Rfam family: Eukaryotic small subunit ribosomal RNA
Source: RNAcentral
AGCAGCCGCGGUAAUUCCAGCUCCAAUAGCGUAUAUUAAAGUUGUUGCAGUUAAAAAGCUCGUAGUUGAAUUUUGGAUUCUUCCAAUUGGUCCAUCUUUUAGAUGAGUACUGGUUGUGUGGGGUCUAUCCGCCUGGUGAUACGUAAUGUCCUUUAUUGGAUGUUGCGGGUAGUCAGGACCUUUACCUUGAAAAAAUUAGAGUGUUUAAAGCAGGCUUAUGCCGGAAUACAUUAGCAUGGAAUAAUAGAAUAGGACGAAGUUGUUUUAUUUUGUUGGUUUCUAGGACAACCGUAAUGAUUAAUAGGGAUAGCUGGGGGCAUUAGUAUUCAAUUGUCAGAGGUGAAAUUCUUGGAUUUAUUGAAGACUAACUACUGCGAAAGCAUUUGCCAAGGAUGUUUUCAUUAAUCAAGAACGAAAGUUAGGGGAUCGAAGACGAUCAGAUACCGUCGUAGUCUUAACCAUAAACUAUGCCGACUAGGGAUCGGGCGAUGUUGUUUCCAUGACUCGCUCGGCACCUUAU